This 447-nucleotide ribosomal RNA is filed under the name uncultured bacterium. RNAcentral describes it as "bacterial SSU rRNA". It matches the Rfam family "Bacterial small subunit ribosomal RNA", at positions 355 to 825 of the family's 1533-position model. The record is from RNAcentral.
UGGGGAAUAUUGGACAAUGGGCGCAAGCCUGAUCCAGCCAUGCCGCGUGAGUGACGAAGGCCUUAGGGUUGUAAAGCUCUUUUGUCGGGGACGAUAAUGACGGUACCCGAAGAAUAAGCUCCGGCUAACUUCGUGCCAGCAGCCGCGGUAAUACGAAGGGAGCUAGCGUUGUUCGGAAUCACUGGGCGUAAAGCGCACGUAGGCGGAUUUGUAAGUCAGGGGUGAAAUCCCGGGGCUCAACCUCGGAACUGCCUCUGAUACUGCGAAUCUCGAGUCCGGAAGAGGUGGGUGGAAUUCCUAGUGUAGAGGUGAAAUUCGUAGAUAUUAGGAAGAACACCGGUGGCGAAGGCGGCCCACUGGUCCGGUACUGACGCUGAGGUGCGAAAGCGUGGGGAGCAAACAGGAUUAGAUACCCUUGUAGUCCCUGAGCGGGCUGGCAAGGCGCAU